Molecule: ribosomal RNA, 440 nt
Filed under: uncultured bacterium
Lineage: Bacteria
Description: partial 16S ribosomal RNA
Rfam family: Bacterial small subunit ribosomal RNA
Source: RNAcentral
CCUACGGGAGGCAGCAGUAGGGAAUAUUGCUCAAUGGGGGAAACCCUGAAGCAGCAACGCCGCGUGGAGGAUGAAGGUUUUCGGAUUGUCAACUCCUUUUGUUAGAGAAGAUAAUGACGGUAUCUAACGAAUAAGCUCCGGCUAACUACGUGCCAGCAGCCGCGGUAAUACGUAGGGUGCAAGCGUUAUUCGGAGUCACUGCGCGUAAAGAGCGCGUAGGCGGGAUAGCAAGUCAGAUGUGAAAGCCGAUGGCUUAACCAUAGAACUGCAUUUGAAACUGGUUUUCUAGAGUAUGGGAGAGGUAGGUGGAAUUCUUGGUGUAGGGGUGAAAUGCGUAGAGAUCAAGAGGAACACUCAUUGCGAAGGCGACCUGCUAGAACAUAACUGACGCUGAGGCGCGAAAGCGUGGGGAGCAAACAGGAGUAGAUACCCUAGUAGUC